UUGCGUUAGAUUCCGCUAAACGUUUCUUAUCUUCGAUGAAAAUCUUCCGAUGCGCCACGAACGUUGAAUUGUCCUUCCUUAAAUUUACGCGACGUAAUCCGUAGUAAUUACGUAGCCGGAGGAUCGAUUAUUUAUCCGAAUAUCGAAUUAAUUCCCACAGGAUUUGGCAAGUUUAACCUUAAGAUUAUGGCCGUCUGCAGUUUGAUAUUCAUGAACGUGGCCUUCAGCAUAACCAGCAUCGGAUUCGUAAUACCAUCGGCAGCGUGCGACUUUAAAAUGACCACCGUGGACAAGGGCUGCCUUAGCGCUGCCCCCAUGUUAGGUAUGCUGGCCGGCUCGUAUAUUUGGGGCUGCUACGCGGCCAUAAAAGGACGCAGAAUGUCCUUGUUGGUCGCGUUGUUUCUUCACGGAAUCUCCGAAUUGUUGGCAUCGAUCGUACCGCUUUAUUGGGUCUUUUUGUUUUUAAAAUUCCUAAGCGGCGCAGCAAUGAACGGACAAUCCGCUGUCGUUUUCCUCUAUCUGGGUGAAUUUCAGCCGACAAAGUAUCGCGACAGAAUGCUGUCGUGGAUGGAAAUGGCUUGGGUGAUGGGUAUGAUCAUCUUGGCAGGCGUCGGUUGGAUCGUGAUCCCGAUGGACGUAAACGUGGAAGGCGCCGGUUUCUUUUUACACUCGUGGAAUCUUUUCGUCUUUAUAUGCUCCCUUCCGGCGUUAUUUACCGGAACGUGGUUAUUAUUUUUCCCCGAAACGCCCAAGUACCUCGCUGAAACCGGUUACAACGUGCAAAUGCUGCAAGUUUUAAUGAGAAUGUACGCGGAGAAUACCGGACAACCCGCGAAAGAAUACAAGACGAAGCUUCGAAAUUCUGGCAACAACAAUUUGAACGAACUGGUCCACCGCAUUAUGCAGACGAACGAGAAGGAGGAAGCGACGGAGAAAUCGUUCGAUUCGAUGAUAAAAGACAUAUACGCGAAAACGGUGAUGAUACUGAAGCCACCGUAUCUCUGUAGAACCAUCGUGGUAUGUCUGAUCGCUUGUUUCGUCACGUCCGCUUAUUACACGCUAACUCUGUGGCUGCCGGAGCUGUUUCACAGAUACGCGGACUUCCAACAGGCAUAUCCUAACCGGACAGCCAGCGUUUGCACCUUAAAGAUCUCGAUAAAUCACACGGAUUCGCAAAGGAUAGACGACCCGUUCGGUUGCAACUCGAGAGUACAAACGAGCGUGUUCCUUCACACUUUCAUCUUGGGAGCAUCUUGCAUUCCAACCGGUCUGAUAAUGCCUUUUCUGGUCAAUUACAUGGGAUACAAAUUCCUCUUGGUGAUCACGGCUUUUAUACCCGGUGUCGUGGCAGCUUGUCUCUUCCUGGUGCAAACUUCCACGCAAAAUUUGAUCCUCUCUUGCGCCUACGAAUCCGUCACGUCCGUUUGCCUCAGCGUCGUCUACUGCCUUCUAGUCGAUCUUUAUCCGACGCAUUUACGAGCAAUGGCUUCCGGUUUAUCGGCGUUCAUAAGUCGAAUCGGUGCUAUAAGCGGUACCUUGAUGAUCGGUUACUUGAUCGACGAUUACUGUACAUUGGUGAUCGUCAUCGUUGCCGCUCAGCUAUUUUUGAGCGGUCUACUCGCCCUCUUUACUCCGUCUCGAAAAAAACCAAAACUGAACAUCGAGAAAUCUUAACGAACGUGGAACGAUCCUAUAAAAGGCGACGUAAUCGAAAAGGAAACGAAGAAAAAUUGUUGAAUUUUACGCGAGUGUUUGGCUCGAUCGAACUCCGACAACCCUAUAAUCUUGCCGAAUCUUCGCGCUCGAAUCGGCACCUAGCGAAGGAGGACUAGCGAAGAAGAAGAAUAAACAGAAGCGGAA
This 1860-nucleotide unclassified non-coding RNA is filed under the name Megachile rotundata (alfalfa leafcutting bee). RNAcentral describes it as "synaptic vesicle glycoprotein 2A-like, transcript variant X2". The record is from RNAcentral. Lineage: Eukaryota; Metazoa; Arthropoda; Insecta; Hymenoptera; Megachilidae.